RNAcentral lists this ribosomal RNA (369 nucleotides) under uncultured Psychrobacter sp. RNAcentral's name for it is "bacterial SSU rRNA". It matches the Rfam family "Bacterial small subunit ribosomal RNA", at positions 446 to 813 of the family's 1533-position model. The record is from RNAcentral. Lineage: Bacteria; Pseudomonadati; Pseudomonadota; Gammaproteobacteria; Moraxellales; Moraxellaceae.
CCUAACGGUUAAUACCCGUUAGCGAUGACAUUAGCUGCAGAAUAAGCACCGGCUAACUCUGUGCCAGCAGCCGCGGUAAUACAGAGGGUGCAAGCGUUAAUCGGAAUUACUGGGCGUAAAGCGAGCGUAGGUGGCUUGAUAAGUCAGAUGUGAAAUCCCCGGGCUUAACCUGGGAACUGCAUCUGAUACUGUUAGGCUAGAAUAGGUGAGAGGAAGGUAGAAUUCCAGGUGUAGCGGUGAAAUGCGUAGAGAUCUGGAGGAAUACCGAUGGCGAAGGCAGCCUUCUGGCGUCAUACUGACACUGAGGCUCGAAAGCGUGGGUAGCAAACAGGAUUAGAUACCCUGGUAGUCCACGCCGUAAACGAUGUC